Pristis pectinata (smalltooth sawfish) is the source of this 1228-nucleotide long non-coding RNA. RefSeq lists it as uncharacterized. The transcript is spliced from 3 exons. The record is from RefSeq and is a predicted model, not a curated record. Lineage: Eukaryota; Metazoa; Chordata; Chondrichthyes; Rhinopristiformes; Pristidae.
ACCUCACACUCCCUUCCCCCUCCCCUCUCCCACUCCCUCCACCUCCCACUCCCCUCACCCUCCCCUCACCCUCCCACUCCCACUCCCCUCACCCUCCCACUCCCACUCCCCUCACCCUCCCACUCCCCUCACCCUCCCACUCCCCUCACCCUCUCCCUCACACUCUCCCUCCACCUCACACUCCCGGGACGUUCCUCCGCCACAAAUUCUCACCAAGUCCACUCCAUCCGACGUUGCAACGCCAAGUCACCGCGGGCGGAGGCACCAGUACGCAUGCGCCGCAAUCCAGCCGGGCACAGCCCAGCGCGGGGGUCCGUGGGGUCCAUGUGCCCGUUCGGUCAACACCACCGACCUACCGCAGGCUCUUCACAAACAUUAGUUUUUCUUACAACUAGAACGAAUUGGUAUUCACAGGCUCGGCUCCAAGUCCUUCUGAAGUGUAGGCGAGGAGGGCACAAAUUAAAACAGAAAACGCUGGAAACACUCGGCAGGUCGGACAGCAUCUGUGGAGAGAGAAACAGAACCAACGACUCAGGUCAAAGACUGUGUGUUCGUGAGGUUGGGGUGGGUUAAGUACUGGUCUGGUCUCCGGGAAGAACAUUGCCACACUACAAAAUGGGGAUUUCGUUUAACUCAUCUGAAAGGUGCUACAGCAACAGGAAGUUCCUUGGGAUCACGGAUGACUUGAUUCCAGUUCUAUGGGUUCAGAGGUGGCUGAUGAGGCCAAUGUGAGACCUGCAGACUCUUCCACAAAUGGGGCAUUUCAUGCGUGUGGGAUUUUCAGGUGAUGAUCAUUUCAAAUAAGAGAAGAUCCAACCAUGACUGCAUAACGUUCAACAUCAUGGUCAAUCCAAGCCCCACCAUCACAGGCAGAGGUUGGGCCUUCAGCCCCCAACACUGCCCCACCACACGAUGCAUUAUCACUUAACUCAUCAUUGCCUCAGCAUCCUGGGGCCACCACUGUGCAAGAGAUUAUCUGGACCAGCCAUAGGAGCACAACUACAGACAUACGGCAGAUGCUGAAUGUCCUAUGGUGAGUGGUAACUUCCUCCCAAAAACCUCUACAAGAUUAAAAUCAGGGGUGUAAGCGUUCUUCCUGUGUCUGUGUGGGUUUCCUCCGGGUGCUCCGGUUUCCUCCCACAUUCCAAAGACGUACGGGUUAGGAAGUUGUGGGCAUGCUAUGUUGGCGCCGAAAGCAUGGCAACGCCUGUGGGCUGCCCCCAGAACA